Brassica rapa (field mustard) is the source of this 2097-nucleotide long non-coding RNA. RefSeq lists it as uncharacterized. NCBI's taxonomy places the organism in Eukaryota, Viridiplantae, Streptophyta, Magnoliopsida, Brassicales, Brassicaceae. The record is from RefSeq and is a predicted model, not a curated record.
GUAUGGGUGGUUAACAGAAGGUACGUAUCAUUUCUCAGUUGCAAUAUCAAGUGGACUUUCUGAUCUUUUUGAAUACCACAGCCAAAGCUUCUCGGGGUUCAAAUCCUGUAGCUUUCGUCAAUCCUAAAGCACAUGUCUACCCACGUCUUGCAUUAGGGACGAAAUGACAGCAACAUGGACGAGUGGGUACAACAUAAAAAUGCCUGUUGUGCAAAGUGACUUUCAAGUAGAAAGAUCACCAGCUGAAAUCGUUACCUUCAACAGAAACAAUAGGUCCUGUUUUUGUUAUUUUCUUUCUUUAUCCUUCAGUGUGACACGCAAGGCAGCAAUCCUUGGCCUCUUCAUCUGGAUGCAUCAUGCAUUGGGAUAAGUUACUUUUUGUUCACUUUCAGUCACAACCAAGAGCGUGAUUGGCCAGACACAUGAUCUUUCUAUGGCGGUAAAGACUCUGGAGGAUCAUUACUGUAUCUCUGUCUUGUCAAUGUUCCUUGUCUCUAAAUUUUUCUCUACCUUUUUUAUUGCAGACCAAUGUGUGAACAGUGACAAGGAUCACUAUUCAGGGACCUUCAAAGAAACCGUUCACGUUGUUGCAGGAAGUCACUUGUCUCUUUUUAGCAAUCUGACUCCCCAAAUGGAGCUUAGUCAGAGACUAUGACUAUUGGUUUGUCAAGUUUUUUUUUUUUUUUGAACUGAGGCUUGGUUUGGUUUGUGAAGUUGACUGCUUCAGAUCACUCAUUGCUUCUCUUUGAGUGCUAGAGGAGCAGCAACGGCCAAGUGGAUGACUCCUUCAACGUCUCUAGAGAUGUUUUGGCUUGCACUCAUGAUAAUUGAUAGCUGCGUCCCCACCACAUCAGCUUCAUGAUCGAUCUUUCUUUCUUAAAACUAGUAGCUUUUUGAGGAUUUUUAAACAUGUUUUACUCAGUGUUCUUGGACAAAAUUUCUUGAUUUAUUUAACUGCAGAGAUCAUUUCUGUACUAAUAAUUUGCCUCUCUUUGUCUGCACAAACACAACAAAGUGACCAAACAUUCAAUCAGAUAUCUCUACUUCAGGGGACUUGUCUUAUUGGUUCUCAUGUGAAAUCAUUGAUGCGAGAUCUUCAACUUUCAGUGGAGAAUGUAUGGCCAUAUAUUGAAACAUGAUCUACUGUAUGGAUCAUAAGUGCUCAGUGAAGUUCUUGAUUGUGGUGAGGAUCAGCAUGUUACAUGGUGAAGAUAAGUUAAAGGAAGUCAUACCUUUACUUACCAACACAACCAUUGAAAUCAGUAUUGGUAGAUUUGUUGAGGUAAAGCCCUGAAGAAACAUUAGGUCCAUUGUCUAAUCUAUGCACUUCAAAAUUUGUUUGACCGCCUUAAUGGCACCUAAAAGAACACUUUAACUAUAAUUAGUUUAAAGCUAAAUAGGUUACUGUUAUGUACUCCAAGUAUACAUAGUAAAUGCCUUUGUAGCUACUUGGUUGAUGGAUUCUGAAGAGUUGGUUAAUUGCACCUUGUCUAUAUUAGGUUUUUUUUGGAGGGAGAUAUACACAUUACUUGACCGCAUGAAACAAAGGAGUAGUUACCUGUUUACACUGUCAUUAAAAUUACUAAGUGAUAUUACCAACUAACUGAUGAAGUUGUUACCAAUUUACAUACUUCUCUUAAUCAGUCUACAUACUUCUCUUAAACAGUCUCCUUAGCAUUAUAAAAGUCAUCAAAUGUAGUAUGCACUACAUUGCAAGUUCACCAUAACGUGUGUAACACUAAACAUAUCAAGAACAAGGUACUUUGUUAAAAAAAACAGAUGUAAGAUAUCAGAUAUUUUAUCCUAUAUUAUAGAAAAUGUAACUGAAAAAGAUCACACUAGAAAUUUAUAAAAUAAUCUAACUUCAGGUAUUGUUUAAAAGGCAGUUUCAUCAAAUUGACUCUAUUCAAAAAUACUAACCAAUUUUAUCAUGAACAACUAAUAAUCAUUGAUUUUAGUUAAUCAUUCAUUACAAAUUCACAAUUUUCUUUGUACUUUUAGUUUCUACAAAUAUAAUAAAUAAUUAAAGAAAAUGAUAAAAUAACAUUAGAGAUAAACAUGAGAAAUCAACUGCACAGGAAAAGUGCAAUGAAAAAC